AUGAAUGUCGAAACGAGGUUUUCCCAUGUUGAUCUUGGCGUAUAUUCCGGAUAUCCAAAAUUCUCCCCGAUCCACUAGAAUUCAUCCGGACGUUCCGAGGCCAUGACCCAGAACUGUGUCGUUCCUUGAGAGUGACUGAUGUAAAAGAUUUUCGGAAGCAACGUCUGAGCGAGGAUGUAAUCCACCGUUGCCGGGAGGUCAAAAACCCCAAGUUCGUGCCAGCUGUAAAAAAAAAAAAAAUGGAUUUCGAAAAUGCACGUCAGCUUUUGACAAUGCGACAAGUAACCAACCUGAAAUUCCAGAACAACUUGUUCUCCGGUGAAAGGACGACGACCAAACUAUGGCGGUCAACUUACCCUCAGUUCUUCAUCGGAAGCAGAAGACGAAAGUAUUUCAAGCCGAUUCAGUCAAACAACUCACCCAAGGACCUUUUGGGACCCAUUAUGACCCAGUCCGCUGAACUGCCCGCCAGUCCGUGUUGCAAGAGAACAGGACCUCUCCACGCUUCCUUAUAUUCGCCUUUCGAAAGGACGCCAGGGAUCCUGUGCAUAGCCAGGAUGUAUCCAUCCUCGGUAACGAUCAACGUCGGCAUUUUUCUUGGCCCUAAUACUGGUAGGUUCGACCAGAGAAGGUGCGAGGAUAACCACGACUACUGUAAUUACGAAUAAAAACUCACGUGCCCCGACCAUCUUGAGUGGUAGGAUAGCUGUCAUACUCUAGAAACACAUCUUUCUCAACAACUUCACACGCGUAUACCGUGACUCCGGAUGAUACGAUGUCUACUGGCGGGAUUGUGAUGGGAGUACCUCAGGUCUUCGCCAGGUAUCCCAAUACCC
RNAcentral lists this long non-coding RNA (836 nucleotides) under Neodiprion pinetum (white pine sawfly). RNAcentral's name for it is "uncharacterized LOC124221071". The record is from RNAcentral. Lineage: Eukaryota; Metazoa; Arthropoda; Insecta; Hymenoptera; Diprionidae.